RNAcentral lists this ribosomal RNA (1039 nucleotides) under Cladophialophora nyingchiensis. RNAcentral's name for it is "SSU rRNA". It matches the Rfam family "Eukaryotic small subunit ribosomal RNA", at positions 72 to 1125 of the family's 1831-position model. Lineage: Eukaryota; Fungi; Ascomycota; Eurotiomycetes; Chaetothyriales; Herpotrichiellaceae. The record is from RNAcentral.
AAUCAUACUGUGAAACUGCGAAUGGCUCAUUAAAUCAGUUAUCGUUUAUUUGAUAGUACCUUUACCUGGAUAACCGUGGUAAUUCUAGAGCUAAUACAUGCUAAAAACCCCGACUUCGGAAGGGGUGUAUUUAUUAGAUAAAAAACCAAUGCCCUCUGGGCUCCUUGGUGAUUCAUAAUAACUUAACGAAUCGCAUGGCCUUGCGCCGGCGAUGGUUCAUUCAAAUUUCUGCCCUAUCAACUUUCGAUUGUAAGAUAGAGGCUUACAAUGGUCUUAACGGGUAACGGGGAAUUAGGGUUCUAUUCCGGAGAGGGAGCCUGAGAAACGGCUACCACAUCCAAGGAAGGCAGCAGGCGCGCAAAUUACCCAAUGCUAAUUCAGCGAGGUAGUGACAAUAAAUACUGAUACGGGGCUCUUUCGGGUCUCGUAAUUGGAAUGAGUACAAUCUAAAUCCCUUAACGAGGAACAAUUGGAGGGCAAGUCUGGUGCCAGCAGCCGCGGUAAUUCCAGCUCCAAUAGCGUAUAUUAAAGUUGUUGCCGUUAAAAAGCUCGUAGUUGAACCUUGGACCUGGCUGAUCUGUCCUCCUAAUCGAGCGCACGGAUUCGGUCGGGUCUUUCCUUCUGGGGAGCCCUAUGCCCUUCACUGGGUGUAGUGGGGAACCAGGACUUUUACCUUGAAAAAAUUAGAGUGUUCAAAGCAGGCCUUUGCUCGAAUACAUUAGCAUGGAAUAAUAGAAUAGGACAUCGGUUCUAUUUUGUUGGUUUCUAGGACCGCUGUAAUGAUUAAUAGGGAUAGUCGGGGGCGUCAGUAUUCAAUUGUCAGAGGUGAAAUUCUUGGAUUUAUUGAAGACUAACUACUGCGAAAGCAUUCGCCAAGGAUGUUUUCAUUAAUCAGUGAACGAAAGUUAGGGGAUCGAAGACGAUCAGAUACCGUCGUAGUCUUAACCAUAAACUAUGCCGACUAAGGAUCGGACGGUGGUUUUUUUAUGCCCCGUUCGGCACUUUACGAGAAAUCAAAGUUUUGGGCUCGGGGGGAGUA